Molecule: ribosomal RNA, 253 nt
Filed under: uncultured bacterium
Lineage: Bacteria
Description: partial 16S ribosomal RNA
Rfam family: Bacterial small subunit ribosomal RNA
Source: RNAcentral
UACAGAGGUCCCAAGCGUUGUUCGGAUUCAUUGGGCGUAAAGGGUGCGUCGGCGGUGCCGUAAGUCGGAUGUGAAAUCCCGGGGCUCAACCCCGGAACUGCACUCGAUACUGCGGUGCUCGAGGACUGGAGAGGAGACUGGAAUUCACGGUGUAGCAGUGAAAUGCGUAGAUAUCGUGAGGAAGGCCAGUAGCGAAGGCGGGUCUCUGGACAGUUCCUGACGCUGAGGCACGAAGGCUGGGGGAGCAAACGGG